UACGAAGGGGGCUAGCGUUGCUCGGAAUGACUGGGCGUAAAGGGCGCGUAGGUGGCCCGACAAGUCUGUGGUGAAAGCUCGACGCUCAACGUCGAGUCGGCCAUAGAUACUGUUGGGCUGGAGCACUGUAGAGGCUCAUGGAAUUCCGGGUGUAGCGGUGGAAUGCGUAGAGAUGUGGAGGAACACCAGUGGCGAAGGCGACUCUUUGGCCUGUAACUGACGCUGAGGCGCGAAAGCGUGGGGAGCAAACAGG
This 253-nucleotide ribosomal RNA is filed under the name uncultured bacterium. Its description in RNAcentral is "partial 16S ribosomal RNA". It matches the Rfam family "Bacterial small subunit ribosomal RNA", at positions 524 to 776 of the family's 1533-position model. The record is from RNAcentral.